Non-coding RNA from Fukomys damarensis (Damara mole-rat), 273 nucleotides. NCBI's taxonomy places the organism in Eukaryota, Metazoa, Chordata, Mammalia, Rodentia, Bathyergidae. The record is from Rfam.
GGAUGUGAGAGCAAUCUGGCUGUGACAUCUGUUACCCCACUGAUCUCCAGGGUCGAUUCGGCUGGUCUGGCUGGCUAGGCAGGUGUCCCUUUCUCCCUCACUACUCCAUGUGCAUCUUGCCUACAGCUGUGUGCUUAGUCAAAGAGGACUGCAAGAACCUCUGAACAAGCUCCCAAAAGUCCUGUGAGCAUAAAAGAUCAUUGGGAGACAUUUUCAAUCUAAACUGUAACAGUCUAUCCCUGGCUGCCAAAAGACUCAUCUAUAUCUUUUUGU